UGCUAAUACCGAAUGUUGUAUCUUCUCCGCAUGGAAGAGAUAUUAAAGAUGGCCUCUACUUGUAAGCUAUCGCUUUGCGAUGGGUCUGCGUCUGAUUAGCUAGUUGGUGGGGCAACGGCCUACCAAGGCGACGAUCAGUAGCCGGUCUGAGAGGAUGAACGGCCACAUUGGAACUGAGACACGGUUCAGACUCCUACGGGAGGCAGCAGUGGGGAAUCUUCCGCAAUGGGCGAAAGCCUGACGGAGCAACGCCGCGUGAGUGAAGAAGGUCUUCGGAUCGUAAAGCUCUGUUGUCGGGGACGAAUGUUGAGACUUAGAACAUAAGUUUCAAAUGACGGUACCUGACGAGGAAGCCACGGCUAACUACGUGCCAGCAGCCGCGGUAAUACGUAGGUGGCGAGCGUUGUCCGGAAUUAUUGGGCGUAAAGGGAGCGCAGGCGGGAAGGUAAGUCUAUCUUAAAAGUGCGGGGCUCAACCCCGUGAGGGAUAGAAACUAUUUUUCUUGAGUGCAGGA
This 514-nucleotide ribosomal RNA is filed under the name uncultured rumen bacterium. Its description in RNAcentral is "bacterial SSU rRNA". It matches the Rfam family "Bacterial small subunit ribosomal RNA", at positions 161 to 653 of the family's 1533-position model. The record is from RNAcentral.